RNAcentral lists this ribosomal RNA (434 nucleotides) under Lacticaseibacillus casei. Its description in RNAcentral is "bacterial SSU rRNA". It matches the Rfam family "Bacterial small subunit ribosomal RNA", at positions 339 to 765 of the family's 1533-position model. Lineage: Bacteria; Bacillati; Bacillota; Bacilli; Lactobacillales; Lactobacillaceae. The record is from RNAcentral.
CUACGGGAGGCAGCAGUAGGGAAUCUUCCACAAUGGACGCAAGUCUGAUGGAGCAACGCCGCGUGAGUGAAGAAGGCUUUCGGGUCGUAAAACUCUGUUGUUGGAGAAGAAUGGUCGGCAGAGUAACUGUUGUCGGCGUGACGGUAUCCAACCAGAAAGCCACGGCUAACUACGUGCCAGCAGCCGCGGUAAUACGUAGGUGGCAAGCGUUAUCCGGAUUUAUUGGGCGUAAAGCGAGCGCAGGCGGUUUUUUAAGUCUGAUGUGAAAGCCCUCGGCUUAACCGAGGAAGCGCAUCGGAAACUGGGAAACUUGAGUGCAGAAGAGGACAGUGGAACUCCAUGUGUAGCGGUGAAAUGCGUAGAUAUAUGGAAGAACACCAGUGGCGAAGGCGGCUGUCUGGUCUGUAACUGACGCUGAGGCUCGAAAGCCAGUC